Molecule: long non-coding RNA, 1172 nt
Filed under: Pan troglodytes (chimpanzee)
Lineage: Eukaryota; Metazoa; Chordata; Mammalia; Primates; Hominidae
Description: long non-coding RNA NONPTRT010028
Source: RNAcentral
AGAGAACACACGCAAUUUUGUUACAUGGGAAUAUUGUGUUGUGCUGAGGUCUGGAGUAUGGAUCCCUUCACCCAGAGUUGACAAGCCGACAUCAGUCUCCAGAGUGAAUCCAAGGAGUGGACCCAAGACAUUUGUGUUCUGUGAUGUGGUGGCAUGUUACCUGUCAUCUCUGAUGCAUAACUCCUAAAGUGUUUGCGUCUGGGGCAGUUGUACAGAUUGCAAAGGAUAAUACUCAAGAUGUCCUCCAAGGCCAACUACUCAUCAGUUUAUUCAUGAGGAGCGUCAGAUAAUUAGGCAGCAGUCCAACAAUUAGGUUUUGUGGAACUUUUACUAUGUCAUCUAUUUAUUGGAAUUCCCUCUGGAUACCAGGACCCCCUCCAGCAGAGCUUAAAGUUAUAGUUACAGGAAGUACAAAUUCCGUAUGUGGAUCCCUGGAAGUGUGAUGAGAAGAACCACUGUUUCCAAGAUCUAUUUAUUCUAUUUAUCAGGCCUAUAAAAUCAUGUAAUGGCCAUGGCUUCAACUAGACUCCACAUCUUGAAUCACAGAACUCAACGAAUGGCAUCAACUACAAGCUGGUAUUCUGCUAUACAUUUAAGAGGCCAUUUUAAUAUUCUAUUAGUCUAGCAGCUUCUAAGUGAUGAGGGAUAUAGGGGGACUGGAGGAUCCCGUGCUCACUUCCUUUUCUGUAAAAGGAGCUCUUUGAUCCAAGGUGACAUGGUAUGGGAUCCAAUGACAAUAAAUCAGUUAUUCUGUGAACCCUGAUCAAAACUUGACUAAACUUUUGACAGUUAGGUUUUUUCCUGACCACAGACUCCUCCCCUUUCUUUUCUUAGAAAAUUUACAUUGGAAAACAGAUGUAAAUUUUCUCCAGCCUCUUGCAAGGUUUACAGUCCAGGACUUUGAGGUCCUGGGAGUCAUCCUUUUGAAAUACAAUCAUCAAAGAAGAUAGUGCUCCAAUCUCCUAGUCUCUGUGGGAGGGUGGGAACCUAACUUCAGUAAACUAAGCACCAAUUAGCAAACACAGAGGGGCUGAUCAUAUUGACCCACUUUCCCACUAAAAUGUCUAGUACUUUCCACCAGCUCACCACAGUGCUUAAAAACUCUCCUGUCUUUUGUUUUAGUAGAGUCCAAUCUCUUUCAUCUAUUGCAAUAGUGUUGAAUAAAGUCUUCC